CCUACGGGAGGCAGCAGUGGGGAAUAUUGCACAAUGGGGGAAACACUGAUGCAGCGACGCCGCGUGAGUGAAGAAGUAAUUCGUUAUGUAAAGCUCUAUCAGCAGGGAAGAAAAUGACGGUACCUGAGUAAGAAGCCACGGCUAACUACGUGCCAGAAGCCGCGGUAACACGUCGGGGGCAAGCGUUAUCCGGAUUUGCUGGGUGUAAGGGGAGCGUAGACGGCAGUGCAAGUCUGGAGUGAAAGGCGGGGGCUCAACCCCCGGACUGCUCUGGAAACUGUACUGCUGGAGUGCAGGAGAGGUAAGUGGAAUUCCUGGUGUAGCGGUGAAAUGCGUAGAUAUUAGGAGGAACACCAGUGGCGAAGGCGGCUUACUGGACUGUAACUGACGUUGAGGCUCGAAAGCGUGGGUAGCAAACAGGAUUAGAUACCCUGGUAGUC
RNAcentral lists this ribosomal RNA (440 nucleotides) under uncultured bacterium. Its description in RNAcentral is "partial 16S ribosomal RNA". It matches the Rfam family "Bacterial small subunit ribosomal RNA", at positions 338 to 795 of the family's 1533-position model. The record is from RNAcentral.